Molecule: long non-coding RNA, 1323 nt
Filed under: Olea europaea (common olive)
Lineage: Eukaryota; Viridiplantae; Streptophyta; Magnoliopsida; Lamiales; Oleaceae
Description: long non-coding RNA (OEUR_LNC011132)
Source: RNAcentral
AGGUUAAAGCACAGCCUUUGGAUCUCCAACAGAGACUCACAACCACAGAAGCGGGAUACAAUGGUUUUGUAUAAUGUUAGAGGAUUCAUUCUUGUGAUCGAUCAACCUUCAAUUUAAUCAUGAACUGCAAACCCCAAUGAGCGUGAAGAAAUUAACAGUAAAAGUGUAGAUUAAAAAUCCAUAAUUGUCCAAAAAUAUUCUCAUAAUCCUCUAAUAGAUGGGAAAAAUAAUCAAUGUAACAGAAAACAAAGAUACUGAAGCUGGAGCAAAUUUCAGACAAUAGUUAACCAGUUAUCCAAGAAAACAUGACAAGUCUACAAGGUUUUAUUAAACUUCACAACCAUCAGCUGCACCAACUGGUAGGUGAAGUAUACAAAAUUUAACAAAUUUACUCCCUGAAAAUGGUGCAAAAGUCCCUGUCAAACGCUGUCUUUGUUGAAGGCUUCUUGAAAUAAAGGCAGAUUGGAUUUCAAAUCGUAAAAAGACGUAGCAUUACUACAUAAAAUUAUCGAAAUAAAUAAAACAUUACAGUUAUGGUGAAUAAAAGUCAGCAUUUAAAUCGAUCGCUCGGGUUUCCUUAAUUAUAAGUAGACAAAUGAGCUAUAUAGUGUUGUUGCAAUCCAGAAGUAACUCCAAGUCAGUUCCGAACAUUGACAAACAGAAAGUGCUUCUUCUACUGUCAAUCCUCAUCUUUCACAAUCACCUACAACAUGAACAAGAAAGAAAGAAAAAUUUCCUUUAGUUGUCAUACCUAAAAUAGUAAAAAUACCUAUAAGCACAAAGCAUAGACGAAUGAAAUUGUUCAUAACAAAAUUGAGCCGAAAUUCAGAUUCUAUUCUUCACAACCGACGAUUUGAAUUAGAUUUCAGUUUUCUCCUAAUGCUGACGUCCAACCAGAGGAAUAAUGACGUAAGGAGACGCACACAACAACAAUAAACAAGAGGCAGCAGGUAAAUCCACCGAUCCUUCAUAACUAACGUAAAUCAUGGUAUACUUAGCAUACGCCUUCCUCGUCCAAUGUGUUCUACAGAGACCGUGUUACUCUUUAGAAAAAUGAGCCUCAUUAUGUCUACACAAACAUGUCCUAACCAUUUAAACUAUCGUUAUGCUAUCCCCAAUCUGCUUCACCUCCACUGGUUUUGUAAAUUAUCUUUUAACCAGAAUAGGUAGAGAUAUUGUCCCGUGAAAGAUGAUCCUGGAUUUGUGCAUAAGCCAACACAAGGAAAGAAAAUAUAGAUGCACUUGCGCAAGUCACUCUUAAAGAGACCAAUUACCAAUGUCUUUUUCUUUAACCAACAACUUAUAAAUGAUACAUUCUAGAUA